UUAAGUAGAGGUUGCGUUGUUAAUGAGUAUGGCGUUGGAGGCUCCAGAGGCCUGUGAAGAUGUUUGAAAGGUUGUGACGCCGAAGUGAUGUAUGCUGGAGAUACAUUGCUGGGCACAGUUUGAAUAAUUCUGUGACUGUCAUCUUAUGAUGGGGAGCUACGUU
Molecule: non-coding RNA, 163 nt
Filed under: uncultured Lachnospira sp.
Lineage: Bacteria; Bacillati; Bacillota; Clostridia; Lachnospirales; Lachnospiraceae
Description: Lysine riboswitch
Rfam family: Lysine riboswitch aptamer
About the family: Riboswitches are metabolite binding domains within certain messenger RNAs that serve as precision sensors for their corresponding targets. Allosteric rearrangement of mRNA structure is mediated by ligand binding, and this results in modulation of gene expression. This family includes riboswitches that sense lysine in a number of genes involved in lysine metabolism, including lysC.
Source: RNAcentral